AGCUGUGACAUUGCGCCGAGGCUCUGAAGUGGGUAAUUGCAGACCACAGCUAGGCUGGAAUGCUGUGUUUGGGGUGGUCAUUAGAGUCGUGGUCUCUUUAGCGUUAUGAAGCCUACCUUGACUCCUAGGUGUUCAUUGUGAAUCUUGUUGGUGCUGGUAUCGCUGUACCUCUCAAAUAGCUUCCCCAUUUUGACUAAGAAUGAAGAACUUCUUGGACAAAGAACUUGUAAAAAUCAGGUUGGAUGUCACUGAGGAUAGUCACUGACAUGGAUUACAAACACUGUGGACUCUGCCCCACCCCUAUCUUUAAAUUCUGAACCUGCCCUGUAGAAUAUUGGUUGGAGCCGUGCAAGACAAUGGAAGCAAGCUUGGCAAUCA
RNAcentral lists this long non-coding RNA (378 nucleotides) under Homo sapiens (human). Its description in RNAcentral is "non-protein coding lnc-PAX9-11:1". The record is from RNAcentral. Lineage: Eukaryota; Metazoa; Chordata; Mammalia; Primates; Hominidae.